RNAcentral lists this ribosomal RNA (450 nucleotides) under uncultured bacterium. RNAcentral's name for it is "partial 16S ribosomal RNA". It matches the Rfam family "Bacterial small subunit ribosomal RNA", at positions 354 to 796 of the family's 1533-position model. The record is from RNAcentral.
GUGGGGAAUUUUGGACAAUGGGCGCAAGCCUGAUCCAGCAAUGCCGCGUGCAGGAAGAAGGCCUUCGGGUUGUAAACUGCUUUUGUACGGAACGAAACGGUCCGGGUUAAUACCCUGGGCUAAUGACGGUACCGUAAGAAUAAGCACCGACUAACUACGUGCCAGCAGCCGCGGUAAUACGUAGGGUGCAAGCGUUAAUCGGAAUUACUGGGCGUAAAGCGUGCGCAGGCGGUUUUGUAAGACAGGCGUGAAAUCCCCGGGCUCAACCUGGGAAUUGCGCUUGUGACUGCAAGGCUGGCGUGCGGCAGAGGGGGAUGGAAUUCCGCGUGUAGCAGUGAAAUGCGUAGAUAUGCGGAGGAACACCGAUGGCGAAGGCAAUCCCCUGGGCCUGCACUGACGCUCAUGCACGAAAGCGUGGGGAGCAAACAGGAUUAGAUACCCGUGUAGUCC